Long non-coding RNA from Oryza brachyantha (malo sina), 351 nucleotides. RefSeq lists it as uncharacterized. The record is from RefSeq and is a predicted model, not a curated record. NCBI's taxonomy places the organism in Eukaryota, Viridiplantae, Streptophyta, Magnoliopsida, Poales, Poaceae. The transcript is spliced from 3 exons.
UCCUCCUCGUGAGUUCCGGCCAAUAUUGCUCUCCCACCGCCGCCCGCCGCCCGCCGCCGUAGGAACAAACCGCACCACAACGCGAGCAGAACAGAUGGAUUCGAUUAUCACGAAGCCCGAGGAGAUUUCCGCUAAUUACCACAGCGGAGCGGCCAAGCAUUCCUAGCGCGCAGCGCGCAUCGCGGCAUCGGGAUUGUUACAUCGUGAGUGGUACCGCUUUACUUGGGAGUUCUGACUUCUUUCAUGCAGAAACAAUAUUGAGCCACUUCCCUUUUUCUGUCCAUCGCCGCUCAUGCCUUUCGGGCAAGUACAUGUAGUGACUCCUUGUCCAUCCUUGCAGUACUCCGUGUA